Molecule: ribosomal RNA, 1177 nt
Filed under: Microbacterium esteraromaticum
Lineage: Bacteria; Bacillati; Actinomycetota; Actinomycetes; Micrococcales; Microbacteriaceae
Description: bacterial SSU rRNA
Rfam family: Bacterial small subunit ribosomal RNA
Source: RNAcentral
AAUCACAUGCAAGUCGAACGAUGAAGCCCAGCUUGCUGGGUGGAUUAGUGGCGAACGGGUGAGUAACACGUGAGCAACCUGCCCCUGACUCUGGGAUAAGCGCUGGAAACGGCGUCUAAUACUGGAUAUGUCCCGUCACCGCAUGGUGUGCGGGUGGAAAGAUUUUUCGGUUGGGGAUGGGCUCGCGGCCUAUCAGCUUGUUGGUGAGGUAAUGGCUCACCAAGGCGUCGACGGGUAGCCGGCCUGAGAGGGUGACCGGCCACACUGGGACUGAGACACGGCCCAGACUCCUACGGGAGGCAGCAGUGGGGAAUAUUGCACAAUGGGCGGAAGCCUGAUGCAGCAACGCCGCGUGAGGGAUGACGGCCUUCGGGUUGUAAACCUCUUUUAGCAGGGAAGAAGCGAAAGUGACGGUACCUGCAGAAAAAGCACCGGCUAACUACGUGCCAGCAGCCGCGGUAAUACGUAGGGUGCAAGCGUUAUCCGGAAUUAUUGGGCGUAAAGAGCUCGUAGGCGGUCUGUCGCGUCUGCUGUGAAAUUCCGAGGCUCAACCUCGGGCUUGCAGUGGGUACGGGCAGACUAGAGUGCGGUAGGGGAGAUUGGAAUUCCUGGUGUAGCGGUGGAAUGCGCAGAUAUCAGGAGGAACACCGAUGGCGAAGGCAGAUCUCUGGGCCGUAACUGACGCUGAGGAGCGAAAGGGUGGGGAGCAAACAGGCUUAGAUACCCUGGUAGUCCACCCCGUAAACGUUGGGAACUAGUUGUGGGGUCCUUUCCACGGAUUCCGUGACGCAGCUAACGCAUUAAGUUCCCCGCCUGGGGAGUACGGCCGCAAGGCUAAAACUCAAAGGAAUUGACGGGGACCCGCACAAGCGGCGGAGCAUGCGGAUUAAUUCGAUGCAACGCGAAGAACCUUACCAAGGCUUGACAUACACGAGAACGGGCCAGAAAUGGUCAACUCUUUGGACACUCGUGAACAGGUGGUGCAUGGUUGUCGUCAGCUCGUGUCGUGAGAUGUUGGGUUAAGUCCCGCAACGAGCGCAACCCUCGUUCUAUGUUGCCAGCACGUAAUGGUGGGAACUCAUGGGAUACUGCCGGGGUCAACUCGGAGGAAGGUGGGGAUGACGUCAAAUCAUCAUGCCCCUUAUGUCUUGGGCUUCACGCAUGCUACAAUGGCCGG